Molecule: ribosomal RNA, 543 nt
Filed under: uncultured Glomeromycotina
Lineage: Eukaryota; Fungi; Glomeromycota
Description: SSU rRNA
Rfam family: Eukaryotic small subunit ribosomal RNA
Source: RNAcentral
AGGGCAAGUCUGGUGCCAGCAGCUGCGGUAAUUCCAGCUCCAAUAGCGUAUAUUAAAGUUGUUGCAGUUAAAAAGCUCGUAGUUGAAUUUCGGGGUCAGCAGGUUGGUCGUGCCAAUGGUAUGCACUGGCCUUGCUGAUUCCUCCCUCUUGAUGAGCCGUAAUGCCAUUAAUUUGGUGUUGUGGGGAAUCAGGACUGUUACUUUGAAAAAAUUAGAGUGUUUAAAGCAGGCAAGCGCUUGAAUACAUUAGCAUGGAAUAAUGAAAUAGGACGUUCGAUCCUAUUUUGUUGGUUUCUAGGAUUGACGUAAUGAUUAAUAGGGAUAGUUGGGGGCAUUAGUAUUCAAUUGUCAGAGGUGAAAUUCUUGGAUUUAUUGAAGACUAACUACUGCGAAAGCAUUUGCCAAGGAUGUUUUCAUUAAUCAAGAACGAAAGUUAGGGGAUCGAAGACGAUCAGAUACCGUCGUAGUCUUAACCAUAAACUAUGCCGACUAGGGAUCGGAUGAUGUUAAUUUUUUAAUGACUCAUUCGGCGCCUUACGGGAA